RNAcentral lists this ribosomal RNA (404 nucleotides) under Verrucomicrobiota bacterium. RNAcentral's name for it is "Verrucomicrobia bacterium partial 16S ribosomal RNA". It matches the Rfam family "Bacterial small subunit ribosomal RNA", at positions 355 to 776 of the family's 1533-position model. The record is from RNAcentral. Lineage: Bacteria; Pseudomonadati; Verrucomicrobiota.
UGGGGAAUAUUGGACAAUGGGCGCAAGCCUGAUCCAGCCAUGCCGCGGGAGUGAUGAAGGCCCUAGGGUUGUAAAGCUCUUUCACCGGUGAAGAUAAUGACGGUAACCGGAGAAGAAGCCCCGGCUAACUUCGUGCCAGCAGCCGCGGUAAUACGAAGGGGGCUAGCGUUGUUCGGAUUUACUGGGCGUAAAGCGCACGUAGGCGGACUAUUAAGUCAGGGGUGAAAUCCCGGGGCUCAACCCCGGAACUGCCUUUGAUACUGGUAGUCUUGAGUUCGAGAGAUGUGGGUGGAAAUCCGAGUGUAAAGGUGAAAUUCGUAGAUAUUCUGAGGAACACCAGUGGCGAAGGCGGCUCACUGGCUCGAUACUGACGCUGAGGUGCGAAAGCGUGGGGAGCAAACAGG